This 422-nucleotide ribosomal RNA is filed under the name uncultured cyanobacterium. RNAcentral's name for it is "bacterial SSU rRNA". It matches the Rfam family "Bacterial small subunit ribosomal RNA", at positions 137 to 570 of the family's 1533-position model. The record is from RNAcentral. Lineage: Bacteria; Bacillati; Cyanobacteriota.
AUGGGAAUAGCCGCGGGAAACUGCGGGUAAUUCCCAGCGAUGUUUGCGAAGGGCAUCCUUUACUAACCAAAGUUCCGGCGUUGUGGGACGGGCCGUUGUGGUAUUAGUUUGUUGGCGGGGUGACGGCCCACCAAGACUUCGAUGCCUACCGGGCGUGCGAGCGUGGCCCGGCACACUGGAACUGAGACACUGUCCAGACUCCUACGGGAGGCUGCAGUCGAGAAUCUUCGGCAAUGGGCGCAAGCCUGACCGAGCGACGCCGCGUGGAGGACGAAGGCCUUCGGGUUGUAAACUCCUGUCGAGGGGGAGGAAGGCGUAAGCUUGACCGAUCCCUGGAGGAAGCACGGGCUAAGUUCGUGCCAGCAGACGCGGUAAGACGAACCGUGCGAACGUUAUUCGGAAUCACUGGGCUUACAGCGCGU